CCCAGUGCGCAUGCUUGUCGGAGAUUCUCAGGCGACCUUCCCUCUUAUCUUCCUCUUGCAUUUAUCAGAAGUGCUGAACCCUUGACGUGCCUUAUCUUAUUUGCUCCUCACAACAAAUCUUAUGAGAUGCAUCACUACCAGAAGUUGUCCAGAAAGAACUGUGACCGUAUGUUUUAAUUAAAUAAUUUUUCAUCCAGUUUUUUUCUUUGCAUAUAAAGAAACAGAAUCCUGACAUCUGAUUGAAUUAUUGGCUCUCCUGAUGGUUGCACGAUGGCUGCAGCAGUUCCAGAUGUCCCAUCGAGACACAAAAAGAUCCCAGAUGGAAGAUGCCAUCUCCUCCUAUGUGCCUCUUUUUAAGAGUUACACAGGAGUGAGGAGGACCACCAAACCAAACUAAGACUCGGAGGAAAAAAAAAAAAGAAAAAGAAGAAAAUGUCUGCUAGGUGCCAUGCCACUCAAACAGCCAAUGGAAAGGCCCACGUGGCGAGAGCUAAGGCUUCCUGCCAACAGGCAAGUGAGGAAGCCCAGUCAGCUGCCUGCAGUCCUGACCCAUGAAGAGCCUGACUGAAAGUGAAUGAGCAACCCUGAGCUAGGACAACCCAGCAAGGCCCAUCCUGAAUUCCUGCCCACAAAAACUCUGAGACAGUAAAUGUUCGUUGUUUUAAACCACAAAGUUUUGAAGUAAUAGAUUAAUUAGGUAACCAAUUGGGACUGCAGUAUUCCUUCAGGGAACUUGAAUAGUCAUUCUGUAUAUGGAAAUUGUACACAUCUUAAAAUUGCUGGACUAAAGUGAGAAGAGACUGUCUUGAGUCAACUGGAUAAAGUGGAAAAAAAAUUAAUUUGGAAAUCAAUAGAAUUCUGGCCUUGGCUUUGUCACUAAGAAACACUUAUAAGUAAUUUCACUUCUCUUGAAAUUAUGAUCAUUAUCUAUAACAUAAAGGAACUGAGCUAAAUGUUAUCUGAUGCCUCUUUAGGCUCUCAAACUCCAUAGAUUUAUGACAUGCUUGAAAUUCACUUUGUUUCACCCUAAUUCAGAGCUUUGUUUCACUAGCUCUAGAAUUAGAUGCCUUGGGUUUAAAUUGCAAUUCAGUCACUUAUUUAAAUAAUUGUACUUGGAUGAGUGAUGUUGCCAUUUUAAGCCUCAGUUUCCCCAUAGAUUCAUUGAGAAGAUCAAAUAAGAUGAUGCAGAUAAAGCUCUUAGUUUGUGGGGACACUUAGUAAGUGCUUAAUAAAUACAGGCAGUUGUGUUAUCUAUGUUGUAGCAGCACAUUUUGUAAAAUAAAACAAAGUUGAAAUCACA
This 1300-nucleotide long non-coding RNA is filed under the name Homo sapiens (human). Its description in RNAcentral is "HSALNT0322716". The record is from RNAcentral. Lineage: Eukaryota; Metazoa; Chordata; Mammalia; Primates; Hominidae.